CUUAUCAAAUAACCAUGAAAACAAAAAUGAUUAUUUUAAGUAAUUGCCAGCUAUUGUUAACGAAAAAGGGAACCUUGUCUUAAGGCGGGCAUUGCUGGCCUUCAUUUAAACUAAAACUGUGACUUUUCCUUUUAUUUACUGUAAGUGGGAAGCUCGUUUCUUAUUUACUGCUGCCAUAUAGACGAGCAGAAAAAAGAGGGAAGCUAUUGUGUAUGUAUGAGUGAGAUAUGUACAUGCUCCAGGCGCAUGACCCAUUCCUGAACCCACACAAAACACAGCCAGCUUUGGAUACGAAGGAUACACGAACUCUCGCACUCCGACUAAACUAAUGCCAUCCUCGUCUAACCUCGUAUCGCUCUGUGGAAUGUCCUAAGGUGGAGCAGAAGCCAUGACUGCGGCCAUGACAGCGAUAAUGUAUACAAGCCAAGCGGAAGACGGGUAUAGCUAUACAGCGGGAAGUGGGAUGGAGAGAGAGGGAGGGAGGGAGCGACAUUUGUAGGGUUGCCGUUGCUACGGUCCCACCCACCCGGACCAGACCCAACCAAAUGCUUGCUGUCUGUUGUUGUCUGCAGCUUGCUCUCUCUCACACUCGCGCACUCACUCACUCACUUUCUUUUCUUAUUGCCUGCUUCUGCUUUGUGGGUAUUAAGUUUUGAGCUUAAUACUAAAGAUAAACGUCUCUUACUAACAGCA
Long non-coding RNA from Drosophila mojavensis, 693 nucleotides. RefSeq lists it as uncharacterized. The transcript has 2 exons. The record is from RefSeq and is a predicted model, not a curated record. NCBI's taxonomy places the organism in Eukaryota, Metazoa, Arthropoda, Insecta, Diptera, Drosophilidae.